This 497-nucleotide ribosomal RNA is filed under the name uncultured bacterium. RNAcentral describes it as "partial 16S ribosomal RNA". It matches the Rfam family "Bacterial small subunit ribosomal RNA", at positions 28 to 507 of the family's 1533-position model. The record is from RNAcentral.
GACGAACGCUGGCGGCGUGCCUAAUACAUGCAAGUUGAGCGCUGAAGGUUGGUACUUGUACUGACUGGAUGAGCAGCGAACGGGUGAGUAACGCGUGGGGAAUCUGCCUUUGAGCGGGGGACAACAUUGGGAAACGAAUGCUAAUACCGCAUAAAAACUUUAAACACAAGUUUUAAGUUUGAAAGAUGCAAUUGCAUCACUCAAAGAUGAUCCCGCGUUGUAUUAGCUAGUUGGUGAGGUAAAGGCUCACCCAGGCGAUGAUACAUAGCCGACCUGAGAGGGUGAUCGGCCACAUUGGGACUGAGACACGGCCCAAACUCCUACGGGAGGCAGCCGUAGGGAAUCUUCGGCAAUGGACGAAAGUCUGACCGAGCAACGCCGCGUGAGUGAAGAAGGUUUUCGGAUCGUAAAACUCUGUUGGUAGAGAAGAACGUUGGUGAGAGUGGAAAGCUCAUCAAGUGACGGUAACUACCCAGAAAGGGACGGCUAACUACGUG